UACCAUGUACUCAGUCUAGACAGAUAGAU
Molecule: non-coding RNA, 29 nt
Filed under: Rattus norvegicus (Norway rat)
Lineage: Eukaryota; Metazoa; Chordata; Mammalia; Rodentia; Muridae
Source: RNAcentral